CAUAACAUUAAAGGAACACUCAUUUUCCAACUCCCCUAGAGUUAAACAGUUGAGUUUUACUGUUUUCAAAUCCAUUCAGCCGAUCUCCGGGUCUGGCGGUACCACUUUUAGCAUAGCUUAGCAUAGUUCAUUGAAUCUGAUUAGACCGUUAGCAUCUCACACAAAAAUGACCAAAGAGUUUCAAUAUUUUUCCUAUUUAAAACUUGACUCUUCUGUAGUUACAUCAUGUACUAAGACCGACAGAAAAUGAAAAGUUGCGAUUUUCUAGGCCGAUAUGGCUAAGAAUACUCUUAUUCCGGCGUAAUAAUCAAGGAACUUUGCUGCCGUACCAUUGGUGCAGCAGGCGCAAUGAUAUUAUGCAGCGUCUCUCAUAAAUGUCUCCAUGGUUGCAAGGCAGUCAAAGAAAACCUGCAUAAACAGAACAGAGCGGAACGCAUGCAAGCUACAGAGACAAUGGAGGCCUAUAUAGAUGACAGAUUGUGCGAAGAGGUUAGUAAGUACCCUCAUUUGUACAAUUCUAGCAUGAAAGAAUACAAAUAUAUUUACAUGGGUUGUAACUCGUGGUGACAGAUUGCUCAAAACUGCGCAUGCAUUGAACGCCUGUGUAUGCGUACGAGUCAGAUGAAGUAUACUUUGCAUUCGACUAGCAUAGGCGUAAAAAAACAAUGUAUGACUGAAUGCAAACAUCAUGCUGGAUGAAAAAAGCUGGUUUGCGUCACUCUAAAAAUUUGAUAAAAUUACAGAAUUUGCUAUGAUUAUAUGAACAUUUCAAAACAGUAUUAAAAAACGUAAAGUUGACAUGUCCAUGUAAGCUAACUCCCAUUCUGUCAAUGGGAAAAGGUUAACUUUAGCAGUUAAUUUCUAUUCUGUUAGGUUCCAUCCUGUUCAUUUUCUUGCAAAUGUGUAAACUUUGAUCAGUCUCAUAUACAGUAUUAUAGAAAUACUUCCUUAUGCAAGCUUAUUCAUUUUUUAUUUUUUAAAAAGUUACAGAGUUCAAAAGGUAUUGCAUAACAGGAAUGGCCCAUGCAGCAACUCUGUUAGCAUUUAAAGUAAUUAUACUAUGUUAGUCAACCAGCUAAUGGUGUGGCUUCCUGUUUUUUGCUUCCACAAUACUGUAGCAAUAACAACGAUUUUUCAGUUGGUGAGUUGAAGAAGAGAGAAAGAUGGCUUUUCGAAGACAAUUCCUCAUUUUUAUCUCAUAUGGAGAGCAGAUGGCAGGCCUGCAUCAGUGCAGGAGGCUUUCUGGGAUGACAGCCAUGAGAUUCCCCCUCAGGUGCCAUUGGAGCCCUCAUGUGCCGGGAGUGUGAUGGUUGGGACAUGGCACCUCCUCGUGAAAGAAUGGCUCUCUGUUCGCCUCCCUUUCUCACUUCGUAAUGGUGCUUGCUAACAACCUAAUAUUUCAAGUGUAUGUGUGCACACAUAGAGGCUCAAACAGUAUGGACUCUCUUCUCUCCUACUCUAACAGUCUAUUUCUUUGUGUGCGGGGUAUGAAAACACUUAAAAUCCUUUGUUAUGAGGGAUUCGGGUCAAGAUCUAAGAACAGAAUUAUCUUCUGUAAUGGACAUUAACUAAUUGUCUAUGGAUAGUAUUUGUGACAGAAAUUUCAACUCGCCCCUCAGUGUGUAUAAAUGAAUGAGAAACACAUUUAUGCUAAUACACUUCAUAUUGGAGGUUUUAGAACCAGAAAUGCAAAGCCUGUGUUAUUAACUUUAGUUUUAUUAUUCUAGCUAGCCAUGCUGUAUAAUCAAAAGAUUAUACAUAAUUUUGUGAUUCUUUUGCACUAGUGUCAAGCUAACAUGUUUAAAAAAAAAAAUGUUCAAGUAUCAUAUUUUUGAAAUAGUGUGAUAAUUGUAUAUUAGCAAUGCUUUACGAUUGCCUGCUAGGACUUCAGUGUGGAUAUAUAAAUGUUAACAUGUUUUCUGUCCUUAGAAACCAAGGUCUGUGGUAAUUGACAACAUGCACAAUUUAAAUGCACCAUGUGUCCUAACCAUGUUCAUGUCACAGGCCAUUUCACUGUGACAGGGAGUGUCUUACAGAGAAAAUGCAGUAUGUACAAAAAUAUUCGCAAUAUCAGAGAGAACAUGUGGAUCCUCUACCAAAACCCUCCUGCAUUUUUGAUGACUCGACCUUCUGUCCUCUUUUGGAGAUGAAGUGCCUCAUAAGGAGAGAAAUGGUGACCAGCAACAGUUCGGCCCCAUUAAGGCAGCACGUCAAAUAUUAAUUCUGCCGUAUAUUCUUCAUAUUGGACAGACUGCAUCAACUAGGCUCAUUUCUGCAUUUUUAAUUGUUGUUUUUUACUCAGAGCUCAUCCUUGGGGAGGCAGUCCAGUCUCUCCGAAAGGCUAUAAAUCUGCAUGUCUGUUUGGAAGGAAAUCCAAAAAGAUCUCUUUCCGGCUUCCCGUAGUGCGGGGUGGUUUGAUGGUAUCAGCAUUGAGGAGCAACUGACUAACGCUACUAACUUACAGAAGAUGGCGGAGCUUUAACAGUUCGCGUUUCGGUUGCUCAACAACAACAAAGCUGGAGAAAAUGAGGAUUGUCAGUAACGGUGUUCAGCCUUACAUUGCUCAAACCGGAGUCGGACACUGAUGGAGAGACUCAGGAAGAAGUUACAACUUUUACAAUGAAACUGGACGUUUCUGAACGGCUGCAUUUCACUAGCAUCAAGCCUACGUUUCAGAAGAAAGAAGACUUUUCAUUUUUGCCAGGACUGCACUACCAACUUGUGAGACACCACAGGACUCUGAAAUGAGCCUUUAGAGGUUUAUAGAGUUGUAUCAGUUAAGUUAUAGGGAAUAUGCUUUUAUGCAUACAAUAUAUUUAUGGAAUAUGCAUACAAGUAUUUGUGGCUGGAGGGGAAACCAGGUCAUUCUCAUGCAGAUGGGAUACUAAAAGACCCUCCAGCAUCUCCACUGUGCUCAAUACUCUGCAUGAAAAAGGUAAUGCAACUUCACUGGUUUACUGACACUCAGCAAGUGAGAUUAAAUGGCUGGGAAAAUUCGCCAUUACAGCUCCGGAUGACGAUGAGUGAAUCUGUGCACCAGGGGUUAAUAGCACAGUAAAUCAUCAGAAACAUUUUUCAGGUUGCGUGACUUUAUUCCUUUUUAAUUUUGUUGUUUUUCCCCCCUUUUGUUUCUUGAUUUUGUCUUCAGUCUCAGUUUUUUCCCCAUUAAAGACCCCCCCCCAACUCCUGUCUUAAAGUGAUGCUUUUGUUGCAUUCCAAGAGGUUGAUAAAUCAAUCCAUCAAAAAAUUCUUUGCGGUGAAACUCAAUCAAGAAAGGUCAUGUCGCCGGGAAAAGAACAGAUUAAAUUAGCAUUGAAUUAGACAUGGAAAGUGAGCUCUGUCAAAACCAUCACCGAGCUCAGCACAAUUAGAAUAUGUUAAUUAUGCAUUUCAUUAAGGGCCCAGGCGCUCUUUGAAUGUGAGAUGAAAUGUCACUGGUGUAGGCAGCCGAAAAAUGGAAGAUUGCCAGGCACAACUUUCUUUGUGCAAUGUGUGACACCUUCAUUAACAUCAGGGAUUGCUGCUCUGAUUAGACUUUUUGUAUUAGUGGAAGCCUAAGGCCUUCAAAUGCUUCGGGUUUUUUCCACCCUGACUGCAAAAAGGACAUUGUCUGUGGACACUUGAGUGAAUUUACAAACCAUAACACCAACAAUACAACUUGUAAUUCCUACACA
Long non-coding RNA from Ctenopharyngodon idella (grass carp), 3674 nucleotides. RefSeq lists it as uncharacterized. The transcript is spliced from 6 exons. The record is from RefSeq and is a predicted model, not a curated record. NCBI's taxonomy places the organism in Eukaryota, Metazoa, Chordata, Actinopteri, Cypriniformes, Xenocyprididae.